Molecule: long non-coding RNA, 197 nt
Organism: Brassica napus (rape)
Lineage: Eukaryota; Viridiplantae; Streptophyta; Magnoliopsida; Brassicales; Brassicaceae
Exons: 3
Source: RefSeq, a predicted model, not a curated record
UGUACCAUUUGAUCCAGUGAAGGUGUGUGAGCUUCAUCCACAGGGUGUUGUUCUUAUAAGAUUCAAGGAUCACAAAGAUGCUCAGAAAUGUAUAGAUGCAAUGAACGGUCGAUGGUAUGCAAAGAGAGAUACAUGCGAGCCUUGACGGUGGAUCAGUGAACCACGCUGCGGUUCGUGACUUUGAUUCAGAAGCCGAA